UGCAGGAAGGAUCAUUAUCGUAAAAAAAAUGUGUGAGGCAUGCAAGGGCUGUCGCUGACUUUUGACACAAAAGUCGUGCACGCCAGAGUGUGUCCUCUCACAUAAAAUCCAUCUCACCCUUUUGUGCACCACCGCGUGGGCACCCUUCGGGAUCAAACCGAUCCAGGAGGGGGCUUGCGUUCUCACACAAACCCCCCUUUUAAAAGCGUAGAAUGACCCCAUUUUUGCGAUAACACGCAAUCAAUACAACUUUCAACAACGGAUCUCUUGGCUCUCGCAUCGAUGAAGAACGCAGCGAAAUGCGAUACGUAAUGUGAAUUGCAGAAUUCAGUGAAUCAUCGAAUCUUUGAACGCACCUUGCGCCCCUUGGUAUUCCGAGGGGCACACCCGUUUGAGUGUCGUGAAAAUCUCAACCUCCUCGGUUUCUUCUGGACACCGAAGGAGGCUUGGACUUUGGAGGCCUUUGCUGGCGUCUCUCGCCAGCUCCUCUCAAAUGAAUUAGCGGGGUCCUCUUUGCCGAUCCUCGACGUGUGAUAAGAUGUUUCCAUGUCUUGGCUUCUGGCUCUGUCGCUUUUGGGACCCGCUUCUAACCGUCUCAACCCGAGACAAUGUUUGAGCGUGUCUCCCUUCUCGGGAAACACCCUCGAGCCCACGAACCCUUGACCUCAAAUCGGGUGAGACUACCCGCUGAACUUAAGCAUAUCAAUAAGCGGAGGAA
This 718-nucleotide small RNA is filed under the name uncultured fungus. RNAcentral's name for it is "eukaryotic LSU rRNA". The stretch from base 248 to 401 matches the Rfam family "5.8S ribosomal RNA". The record is from RNAcentral. Lineage: Eukaryota; Fungi.